Long non-coding RNA from Priapulus caudatus, 647 nucleotides. RefSeq lists it as uncharacterized. The record is from RefSeq and is a predicted model, not a curated record. The transcript is spliced from 4 exons. Lineage: Eukaryota; Metazoa; Priapulida; Priapulimorpha; Priapulimorphida; Priapulidae.
AAGUGUUGGAGAGAUUCGCCUGAGAACCAGCGACCCGCUAGACUAUCCGCUCAUAGAUCCACGCUACUACGAGAAUAAAGAAGACGUUAAAACGAUGGUGGCAGGGAUCAAGCUCGCGAUGAGGAUAUCAGCGACAAAUGCAUUCAAGUCUAUCGGAGCAAAGAUGAAUCCAAAUAACUGGAACGUGCCAGGGUGCACUCAGCACGGCAAAGGUGACAAAUAUCUGGAGUGCGUUGCACGGAGUAUAUCCACAACAAUUUACCAUCCGACGGGAACCUGUAAGAUGGGCGCCAGCACCGAUCCGUCUGCCCGUCGUUGAUCCGCAGCUGAGGGUGCGUGGAGUAGAAGGACUGAGGGUCGUGGAUGCCUCCAUCAUGCCGGAAAUCACGGCGGGAAACCCGCAUGCGCCUGUCAUCAUGAUCGCUGAGAAGGCCGCCGACAUGAUACGCGCUGUAAAGAAGUGAUGUUAAAAAAACUGACUAAGAUAUUUGAGAAAGAAUACUGCGAUAUGAUAACGGUUAUGUAAAGUUAUGCGCAGACUGAUAGGCCUACAUGUGAUGCUACCCUGUUAGUUAUAUUAUUAGAUGUGCGCAUAUAAAUAAAUAAAUAAAUAAAUAUAUAUAUAUAUAUAUAUAUAUAUACAUAUA